UAAGGCGGCCAUAGCGGUGAGGCAACACCCGUACCCGUUCCGAACACGGAAGUUAAGCUCACCUGCGUUGCGAGCAGUACUGGAGUGCGCGAGCCUCUGGGAGACUCGCUUCGCCGCCUCCC
This 122-nucleotide ribosomal RNA is filed under the name Halorubrum sp. JWXQ-INN 858. The record is from RNAcentral. Lineage: Archaea; Methanobacteriati; Methanobacteriota; Halobacteria; Halobacteriales; Haloferacaceae.